RNAcentral lists this ribosomal RNA (483 nucleotides) under uncultured bacterium. RNAcentral describes it as "partial 16S ribosomal RNA". It matches the Rfam family "Bacterial small subunit ribosomal RNA", at positions 29 to 507 of the family's 1533-position model. The record is from RNAcentral.
AUUGAACGCUCGCGGGAUGCUUUACACAUGCAAGUCGAACGGCAGCGCGGACUUCGGUCUGGCGGCGAGUGGCGAACGGGUGAGUAAUGUAUCGGAACGUGCCCAGUAGCGGGGAAAAAUACGCGGAAGGGUAGGCUAAAACGCAAAAGGCCCAAGGGGGAAAGCAAGGGAACGGAAAGACUUUCACUUUUGGAGCGGCCGAUAUCGGAUUAGCUAGUUGGUGAGGUAACGGCUCACCAAGGCGACGAUCCGUAGCUGGUUUGAGAGGACGACCAGCCACACUGGGACUGAGACACGGCCCAGACUCCUACGGGAGGCAGCAGUGGGGAAUUUUGGACAAUGGGGGCAACCCUGAUCCAGCCAUCCCGCGUGUGCGAUGAAGGCCUUCGGGUUGUAAAGCACUUUUGGCAGGAAAGAAACGUCGCGGGCUAAUACCCCGUGGAACUGACGGUACCUGCAGAAUAAGCACCGGCUAACUACGUG